GUAAUUAUAGUUCAAUUGGUAGAACGUCUAAUUGUGGCUUAGAAGGUUUCCGGUUCAAUCCCGGAUAAAUACC
Molecule: transfer RNA, 73 nt
Organism: Drechmeria coniospora
Lineage: Eukaryota; Fungi; Ascomycota; Sordariomycetes; Hypocreales; Ophiocordycipitaceae
Rfam family: tRNA
About the family: Transfer RNA (tRNA) molecules are approximately 80 nucleotides in length. Their secondary structure includes four short double-helical elements and three loops (D, anti-codon, and T loops).
Source: Rfam